AGAGUUUGAUCCUGGCUCAGGAUGAACGCUAGCGGCAGGCCUAAUACAUGCAAGUCGAACGGCAAGUUGAGUAGCAAUACUUGACCUAGAGUGACGUACGGGUGCGUAACACGUAUGCAACCUACCCAAAACAGGAGUAUAGCUCGGGGAAACUCGAAUUAACCCUCCAUAAGAUAGUAGCAGAGCAUUCUGCAGCUAUUAAAACUCAGGUGGUUUUGGAUGGGCAUGCGUUUGAUUAGCUAGUUGGUAGUGUAACGGACUACCAAGGCGAUGAUCAAUAGGGGAACUGAGAGGUUGAUCCCCCACACUGGCACUGAGAUACGGGCCAGACUCCUACGGGAGGCAGCAGUAGGGAAUAUUGGUCAAUGGAUGCAAGUCUGAACCAGCCAUGCCGCGUGCAGGAAGAAGGCCUUCUGGUUGUAAACUGCUUUUGUCAGGGGAUAAAAAAUUCCUUGCGAGGAAUAUUGAAGGUACCUGGCGAAUAAGCCACGGCUAACUACGUGCCAGCAGCCGCGGUAAUACGUAGGUGGCGAGCGUUGUCCGGAUUUAUUGGGUUUAAAGGGUGCGUAGGCGGUCCUAUAAGUCAGUGGUGAAAUAUCUCAGCUCAACUGAGAGGGUGCCAUUGAUACUGUAGGACUCGAGUGAAUUUGAGGUAAGCGGAAUUGACGGUGUAGCGGUGAAAUGCUUAGAUAUCGUCAAGAACACCGAUAGUGAAGACAGCUUACCAAGCUUCAACUGACGCUGAGGCACGAAAGUGUGGGGAUCAAACAGGAUUAGAUACCCUGGUAGUCCACACUGUAAACGUUGAUUACUCGCUGUUGGCGAUACACAGCCAGCGGCUAAGCGCAAGCGAUAAGUAAUCCACCUGGGGAGUACGCCGGCAACGGUGAAACUCAAAGGAAUUGACGGGGGUCCGCACAAGCGGUGGAGCUUGUGGUUUAAUUCGAUGAUACGCGAGGAGCCUUACCUGGACUAGAAUGCCCUUGACCGAUCCAGAGAUGGAUUUUUCCGCAAGGACAAGGAGCAAGGUGCUGCAUGGCCGUCGUCAGCUCGUGCCGUGAGGUGUUGGGUUAAGUCCCGCAACGAGCGCAACCCUUAUCUUUAGUUGCCAGCACGUAAUGGUGGGGACUCUAAAGGGACUGCCUGCGCAAGCAGAGAGGAAGGAGGGGAUGACGUCAGGUCAUCAUGGCCCUUACGUCCAGGGCUACACACGUGCUACAAUGGCGUAUACAAAGUGUUGCAAGCCAGCGAUGGUGAGCCAAUCACAAAAAGUACGUCUCAGUUCGGAUUGCAGGCUGCAACUCGCCUGCAUGAAGUUGGAAUCGCUAGUAAUCGUGCAUCAGCAAUGGCGCGGUGAAUACGUUCCCGGACCUUGUACACACCGCCCGUCAAGCGAUGGAAGUCGGGAGGACCUGAAGACAGUAGCUGUAAGGCGCUGUUUAGGGUUAAACUGAUGACUGGCGCUAAGUCGUAACAAGGUA
This 1481-nucleotide ribosomal RNA is filed under the name metagenome. RNAcentral describes it as "bacterial SSU rRNA". It matches the Rfam family "Bacterial small subunit ribosomal RNA". The record is from RNAcentral.